CGGGACCUCAGGUCAGGCGGGGCUACCCGCUGA
Molecule: ribosomal RNA, 33 nt
Filed under: Swartzia sp. A BT-2015
Lineage: Eukaryota; Viridiplantae; Streptophyta; Magnoliopsida; Fabales; Fabaceae
Also listed under: 3 other names
Description: partial 26S ribosomal RNA
Source: RNAcentral